Molecule: ribosomal RNA, 270 nt
Filed under: uncultured archaeon
Lineage: Archaea
Description: partial 16S ribosomal RNA
Rfam family: Archaeal small subunit ribosomal RNA
Source: RNAcentral
CAGCCCCUCGAGUGGUGGGGAUGAUUAUUUGGCCUAAAGCGUCCGUAGCCGGCCGAGUAAGUCCCCCGUUAAAUCCAGCGUCUCAAGCGUUGGACUGCGGGAGAUACUACUUGGCUAGAGAGUGGGAGAGGUCAGCGGUAUUCUGGGGGUAGGGGCGAAAUCCUUUGAUCCCCGGAGGACCACCAGUGGCGAAGGCUGCUGACUAGAACACGUCUGACGGUCAGGGACGAAAGCUGGGGGAGCAAACCGGAUUAGAGACCCGAGUAGUCC